This 613-nucleotide ribosomal RNA is filed under the name Pseudovibrio sp. AU399_Ted1_MB20. Its description in RNAcentral is "bacterial SSU rRNA". It matches the Rfam family "Bacterial small subunit ribosomal RNA", at positions 60 to 719 of the family's 1533-position model. The record is from RNAcentral. Lineage: Bacteria; Pseudomonadati; Pseudomonadota; Alphaproteobacteria; Hyphomicrobiales; Stappiaceae.
AGUCGAACGGAUCCUUCGGGAUUAGUGGCAGACGGGUGAGUAACGCGUGGGAAGCUACCUUGUGGUAGGGGACAACAGUUGGAAACGACUGCUAAUACCCUAUGAGCCCUAUGGGGGAAAGAUUUAUCGCCAUGAGAUGUGCCCGCGUUAGAUUAGCUAGUUGGUAAGGUAAUGGCUUACCAAGGCGACGAUCUAUAGCUGGUCUGAGAGGAUGAUCAGCCACACUGGGACUGAGACACGGCCCAGACUCCUACGGGAGGCAGCAGUGGGGAAUAUUGGACAAUGGGGGCAACCCUGAUCCAGCCAUGCCGCGUGUGUGAUGACGGCCUUAGGGUUGUAAAGCACUUUCAGCAGUGAAGAUAAUGACAUUAACUGCAGAAGAAGCCCCGGCUAACUUCGUGCCAGCAGCCGCGGUAAUACGAAGGGGGCUAGCGUUGUUCGGAAUCACUGGGCGUAAAGAGUACGUAGGCGGACUGAUAAGUUAGGGGUGAAAUCCCAAGGCUCAACCUUGGAACUGCCUUUGAUACUGUCAGUCUUGAGAUCGAGAGAGGUGAGUGGAACUCCGAGUGUAGAGGUGAAAUUCGUAGAUAUUCGGAAGAACACCAGUGGCGAA